This 253-nucleotide ribosomal RNA is filed under the name uncultured bacterium. Its description in RNAcentral is "partial 16S ribosomal RNA". It matches the Rfam family "Bacterial small subunit ribosomal RNA", at positions 524 to 776 of the family's 1533-position model. The record is from RNAcentral.
GACGAGGGGUCCUAGCGUUGUUCGGAAUUAUUGGGCGUAAAGCGAGUGUAGGUGGCCUGUUUAGUCAGAUGUGAAAGCCCUGGGCUCAACCCAGGAAGUGCAUUUGAUACUGGCGGGCUUGAGUAUGGGAGAGAAUAGUAGAAUUCCUGGUGUAGUGGUGAAAUACGUAGAUAUCAGGAGGAAUACCGGUGGCGAAGGCGGCUAUUUGGCCCAAUACUGACACUCAGACUCGAAAGCGUGGGGAGCAAACAGG